RNAcentral lists this transfer RNA (72 nucleotides) under Camelus bactrianus (Bactrian camel). It matches the Rfam family "tRNA". From Rfam's summary of the family: Transfer RNA (tRNA) molecules are approximately 80 nucleotides in length. Their secondary structure includes four short double-helical elements and three loops (D, anti-codon, and T loops). The record is from Rfam by way of RNAcentral. RNAcentral also lists the same sequence under 2 other names. Lineage: Eukaryota; Metazoa; Chordata; Mammalia; Artiodactyla; Camelidae.
GAGGGUAUAGCUCGAGGUUAGAGUACGUGCUUAGCAUGCGUCAGGUCCUGGGUUCAAUCCCCUGUACCUGCA